GUGUUGGUAGUUUAAACUACUAGUGCCGCAGCUAACGCAUUAAGUAUACCGCCUGGGGAGUACACUCGCAAGGGUGAAACUCAAAGAAAUUGACGGGGGCCCGCACAAGCGGUGGAUCAUGUGGUUUAAUUCGAUGAUACGCGAAGAACCUUACCUGGGCUUGAACUGUGCCUGACAGGUGUAGAGAUACACCCUCCUUCGGGCAGGUACAGAGGUGCUGCAUGGUUGACGUCAGCUCGUGUCGUGAGAUGUUGGGUUAAGUCCCGCAACGAGCGUAACCCUUACCCCUUGUUGCUAACAGGUUAUGCUGAGCACUCUAGGGGGACUGCCGGUGACAAACCGGAGGAAAGUGAGGAUGACGUCAAAUCAUCACGGCCCUUAUGUCCAGGGCUACACACGUGAUACAAUGGUCGGUACAAAGAGCCGCAAUACCGCGAGGUGGAGCAAAUCUCAAAAAACCGAUCCCAGUUCGGAUUGUAGUCUGCAACUCGACUACAUGAAGUUGGAAUCGCUAGUAAUCGCAGAUCAGCACGCUGCGGUGAAUACGUUCCCGGGCCUUGUACACACCGCCCGUCACACCAUCCGAGUUGGCAGCACCCAAAGGGGCUGGUCUAACCCGCAAGGGAGGAAGGUCAUUAAGGUGAAGCUAGUAAGGAGGGUGAAGUCGUAACAAGGUAGCCG
RNAcentral lists this ribosomal RNA (681 nucleotides) under uncultured bacterium. RNAcentral's name for it is "bacterial SSU rRNA". It matches the Rfam family "Bacterial small subunit ribosomal RNA", at positions 820 to 1502 of the family's 1533-position model. The record is from RNAcentral.